UACGUAGGCAGCAAGCGUUGUUCGGAAUUACUGGGCGUAAAGAGUGUGUAGGCGGUGCUCUAAGUUCGGUGUGAAAUCUCCUGGCUUAACUGGGAGGGUGCGCCGGAAACUGGAGUGCUCGAGCGUGGGAGAGGAAAGCGGAAUUCCUGGUGUAGCGGUGAAAUGCGUAGAUAUCAGGAGGAACACCUGCGGUGUAGACGGCUUUCUGGACCAUAGCUGACGCUGAGACACGAAAGCGUGGGUAGCAAACAGG
Molecule: ribosomal RNA, 253 nt
Filed under: uncultured bacterium
Lineage: Bacteria
Description: partial 16S ribosomal RNA
Rfam family: Bacterial small subunit ribosomal RNA
Source: RNAcentral